CAUAGGCUGCAACAGCACCCUGGGCGACGACGGCACCCGCGACGGCACCCUGGGCGACGAUGGCAGCAAGGGAACUCUGGCAGACGCCUACGCAGGCAACAGCACCCUGGGCGACGACGGCAACGUGACUUUGGCUGAUGUCUACACGGGCAACAGCACCCUGGGCGACGACGGCAACGUGACUUUGGCUGACGUCUACAAGGUCAACGGCACCCUGGGCGACGACGGCACCCACAACGUAACGUUGGACGACAUCUACACUGACAACGGCACCCUGGCCGACGAUCGCAGCACGGGCAACGGAACUUUGGCAGAUGGCAACGACACCCUGUCCGACGUCUACACCCGCAACGGCACCCUGGGCGACGAUGGCAGCAAUGGUACUUUGGCUGACGUCUACGCGGGCAACGGCACCCUGGGCGACGACGGCAACGAGACUUUGGCUGACGUCUACGCGGGCAACGGCACCCUGGGCGACGACGGCAGCAAUGGAACUUUGGCAGAUGCCGACGCAGGCAACGGCACCCUGAGCGACGACGGCAACGUGACCCUAGCUGACUACACGGGCAACGGAACUUUGGCUGACGGCUACACGGGCAACGGCACCCUGGCCGACGUCGAGACGGGCAACGGAACUUUGGCAGAUGGCAACGGCACCCUGGGCGACGACGGCAACGUGACUUUUGCUGACGUCUACACUGGCAACGGCACCCUGGCCGACGACGACACGGGCAACGGAACUUUGGCAGAUGGCAACGACACCCUGUCCGACGAAUCUACCCGCAACGGCACCCUGGGCGACGAUGGCAGCAAUGGUACUUUGGCUGACGUCUACGCGGGCAACGGCACCCUGGCCGACGUCGACACGGGCAACGGUACCUUUGGCAGAUGGCAACGACACCCUGUCCGACGUCUACACCCGCAACGGCACCCUGUCCGACGUCUACACCCGCAACGGCACCCUGGGCGACGAUGGCAGCAAUGGUACUUUGGCUGACGUCUACGCGGGCAACGGCACCCUGGGCGACGACGGCAACGAGACUUUGGCUGACGUCUACGCGGGCAACGGCACCCUGGGCGACGACGGCAGCAAUGGAACUUUGGCUGACGUCUACACUGGCAACGGCACCCUGGGCGACGACGGCAGCAAUGGAACUUUGGCUGACGGCUACACGGGCAACGGCAACCUGGCCGACGUCGACACGGGCAACGGAACUUUGGCAGAUGGCAAUGACACCCUGGGCGACGUCUACACCCGCAACGGCACCCUGGCCGACGAUGGCACCCUGGCCGACAAUGGCAGCAAUGGUACUUUGGCAGAUGGCUACUCAG
This is a long non-coding RNA of Gasterosteus aculeatus aculeatus (three-spined stickleback), 1332 nucleotides long. The record is from Ensembl. NCBI's taxonomy places the organism in Eukaryota, Metazoa, Chordata, Actinopteri, Perciformes, Gasterosteidae.